Neofelis nebulosa (Clouded leopard) is the source of this 871-nucleotide long non-coding RNA. RefSeq lists it as uncharacterized. The record is from RefSeq and is a predicted model, not a curated record. The transcript is spliced from 3 exons. NCBI's taxonomy places the organism in Eukaryota, Metazoa, Chordata, Mammalia, Carnivora, Felidae.
CAUACCUCCCUUUCACUAAUCCAGGUAACAGUGACAUAUUCUGUCUUUGAAGGGCUGCAUUAGAAAACAGAGAAUUCAUGUUUGCAGCAGUCUUCUCCCGUAUCUGUAUAGUGUUCUGGAUUCUCGGACUCUGGCUUCUCAACCAAGUGUAUCCUAUUUUUACGGCUCUAUCCUUUUUUUUUUUUUUAACGUCUUUAUUCUUAUAUUUAUUUUCCCUCUUUAAUGCUAUUUUGUGGAGAAAAAGCACAAUUGUUCAGACUAACAUCUUAAUCUGUCAUGCCUUUUAAAUUACGAAGGCUUGUGCCCCCCACUCGCCCCCCGCCCAGUUGCUCGACCGGCAACAGACAGACUCCGGACAUCCUCCAGCUAUUCCGGAGGGUCUCAAAGUAUGACCUCACUGCGAUCUGAACCAGGUCUCUAAUUAUUUUCUAUUUUGGCCUCUUCGUCAGGCUACAGAACCGCGGUUGUGGGGGGUUCUCCCACGUGGUCACCACCUUUAAGAAGAUUUUCUCCACAGAUAACUAUGGCUCUAACAUGAUUUUCCCUAAAUUCAUAUCGCAGUGUUUAACAACUCUAGGGUGGAGGGGAAAGGCUGUGGACCAGAUGCCAGGAUCUUCAAUGAAUCAGUAAAGGUGUUGAGGUGUAACCAAAUGAGCCCAAUGCAGGGCUUGAACUCAUGACCCUGAGAUCAAGACCUGAGCUGAGAUCAAGAGUUGGACACUUAACCAACUGAACCACCCAGGCGCCCCCACAAUUCCCGUUUUAAAGACCUAUGACAAUUUCUCAGAGAAAUAAAGCAACUUUCCCAAAGCCAUAAAGCUAAUAAAUCUUGAAAUAUGUUUCACCUGUCUAAGAAAAUAAACUGUAUUUU